GGGCAUAUUCCAGAGUGGCCAAAUGGGGCAGACUGUAAAUCUGCUGGUUCUCACCUUCGGUGUUCGAAUCCAUCUGUGCCCA
Molecule: transfer RNA, 82 nt
Filed under: Candidatus Colivivens equi
Lineage: Bacteria; Pseudomonadati; Bacteroidota; Bacteroidia; Bacteroidales; Bacteroidaceae
Description: tRNA-Tyr
Rfam family: tRNA
About the family: Transfer RNA (tRNA) molecules are approximately 80 nucleotides in length. Their secondary structure includes four short double-helical elements and three loops (D, anti-codon, and T loops).
Source: RNAcentral